RNAcentral lists this microRNA precursor (67 nucleotides) under Bombyx mori (domestic silkworm). RNAcentral describes it as "mir-2774 microRNA precursor family". It matches the Rfam family "mir-2774 microRNA precursor family". The record is from Rfam by way of RNAcentral. Lineage: Eukaryota; Metazoa; Arthropoda; Insecta; Lepidoptera; Bombycidae.
ACAAGUUCCGGACCGUCGGUCUACCGAGCAGUAUCACUCGCUCGGUGGAAGAUUUUCUCUUCGUCGU